RNAcentral lists this ribosomal RNA (408 nucleotides) under uncultured bacterium. Its description in RNAcentral is "partial 16S ribosomal RNA". It matches the Rfam family "Bacterial small subunit ribosomal RNA", at positions 28 to 526 of the family's 1533-position model. The record is from RNAcentral.
GACGAACGCUGGCGGCGUGCCUAAUACAUGCAAGUCGAGCGAAGCGGCGGAUGGGUGGGUAACGCGUGGUUAACCUGCCCUUAAGUCUGGGAUACCAUCUGGAAACAGAUGCUAAUACCGGAUACUAAACGAUGGAAGUGCGUUGUAUUAGCUAGUUGGUAAGGUAACGGCUUACCAAGGCGAUGAUGCAUAGCCUGGUUGAGAGGUGGAUCGGCCACAUUGGGACUGAGACACGGCCCAAACUCCUACGGGAGGCAGCAGUAGGGAAUCUUCCACAAUGGACGAAAGUCUGAUGGAGCAACGCCGCGUGAGUGAAGAAGGUUUUCGGAUCGUAAAGCUCUGUUGUUGGUGAAGCGGUAAUCAACCAGAAAGUCACGGCUAACUACGUGCCAGCAGCCGCGGUAAUUC